GCAGUUGUGGCCGAGUGGUUAAGGCGAUUGACUAGAAAUCAAUUCCUCUUUGAGGGCGUAGGUUCGAAUCCUACCAACUGCG
Molecule: non-coding RNA, 82 nt
Organism: Daphnia pulex (common water flea)
Lineage: Eukaryota; Metazoa; Arthropoda; Branchiopoda; Diplostraca; Daphniidae
Source: Rfam